Amphimedon queenslandica is the source of this 273-nucleotide long non-coding RNA. RefSeq lists it as uncharacterized. The transcript is spliced from 3 exons. The record is from RefSeq and is a predicted model, not a curated record. Lineage: Eukaryota; Metazoa; Porifera; Demospongiae; Haplosclerida; Niphatidae.
GUGACAGAGAUAAGAGAGUAGAAUCAGCUAAGAUAUCAAUAACAGCAUUACUGAAAUCAUGGUCAGGUUUUUUAUUGUUACUUAAUCCGUCAAUUAAUGGAAUAUCAACUAUAAUUAACAUGUUACCUUUGACUGAACCUUAUAUACAGAGACAGAUCCUUGAGAUACUCUACAGUUCCUUUCAUUUGAAGAUCCCUCAGUGGACUGAUGACUAUAGGAUAGCUAUUGCUAGUGUUGGUAAGAUACUGGCUAAUUAAUUGAUGGGUGUGGCUU